RNAcentral lists this long non-coding RNA (1273 nucleotides) under Ananas comosus (pineapple). RNAcentral describes it as "long non-coding RNA (ACOM_LNC015459)". The record is from RNAcentral. Lineage: Eukaryota; Viridiplantae; Streptophyta; Magnoliopsida; Poales; Bromeliaceae.
UCCACUUUCGUACAACCUAUUGUCCUCCGCGCCCUCUCCCAACCGAGGAAUUCUACACUGUCACACUUGCAACAAAUCAAUCAUAUUUUUUCUUUUCAAAUAAAAAUAUAAUAAAAAUAUUUUUUUUAUAAUCAUGAUGAGACAUAUAUCUCUAAAAGAAGUUAUUUGAUUGGUUUGUUACGCCACAUCACCAAUAUACCCGUUGCAUUCUAGAAUUUUUCCUCCCAACCUCCUCUCGCCAUACUUCCCGUACACCGUUCCUACCCUCUUCCUGCACUCUUCCCCAUCCUCUCCUCUUAUUUCUUUUUGGAAAAACUUCAAAAACCCCCAUGUGGUUUUACACUUUUUCAUUUUAGUAUCCUAUGGUUUAAAGUGUAUCAGGUUAGUAUCCUAUAGUUUCGCACUUUUUCACUUUAGUACCCUGUGGUUUAAAGUGUAUCAAGUUAGUACUCUAUGGUUUUAUUUUUGUAUCAAGUUAGUACUCUGUGAUUUUAUUUUUGUAUCAAGUUAGUACCAUGUGGUUAUAUUUUUUCUCUUAAUGAAAUAUUAAACCACAAGGUACUAAAAUAAGAAAGUGCGAAACCACAGGGUACUAACUUGAUACACUUUAAACCACAGGGUACUAAAGUGAGAGAGUGCGAAACCACAGGGUACUAACUUGAUACACUUUAAACCACAGGGUAAUAAAGUGAGAAAGAGUAAAACCACAAGGGGGUUUUAUGAAGUUUUCCCUUUCUUUUUUAUCACUCUCCCAAAUUCCAACCCUAACCCAUUUUCUCCUUUUUAUCCUCUGCCUACUUCCCGUCCCUUCCUCCUCACCCUCUCCGCUGCCUGGCAUGGCGUCCGCCUCCUCAUUGCCGCCUAUGGGCUUAGCUCUUGACUUACAAAGCAUGUAAGGCAAAAUAUUUUCUUUCUUUCUUGGCCAAUUUGCAUAAAAAAUCCACUAGUUUUGCGCUUUUGCAAAAUGGGCCACCUUUUUCGAUUUUGCAGAUUCGGGCCGGAUUUUUAGUAAACUGACCAAAAUAUCCUUAUACCUUUCUCUCUCUCCUUUUUUUUUCUCGCGUUCUUUUUUUUCUCACAGAAGAAGGCGACGGAGGCGAACGCGAAAACGGCCCCCAUCGUUUCCGACACCGUCACCCUCCUCGCUUCCGACACCGUCACCCUCCUCGCCUCCGACACCAUCUCCAUUUAGUGCUAAUCCAUAGAUUCUCCCGUACAUUUCUCGCCCUCCUUGCCUCCGACACCGACGAGGCCGCGCUCGCCGCCGCCCUCC